This is a long non-coding RNA of Suricata suricatta (meerkat), 442 nucleotides long. RefSeq lists it as uncharacterized. The transcript has 3 exons. The record is from RefSeq and is a predicted model, not a curated record. Lineage: Eukaryota; Metazoa; Chordata; Mammalia; Carnivora; Herpestidae.
UAUUUUUCAACUCUUUGUAAAUUGAAGAAAGGCUCACCAGAAUCCUAGAAGAACUGCUGUCUGAGCAUGUCCGGGAAAGCAAACUGAAUGGCACAAAGAGCAAACUGUGGUGGACGCAGAAACUCACUGCCCGGACCUCGCUCCGGGAAGGACUCCUUUCGCAGCGUGGACCUUUCUGUGAGAUCUUGGAAGGGGCUGUACAGCAGCGGCCUGCUCCCCGCCCAGGGGUGGAGAGGCCUGGAGAGGCCUGGUGGAUCCUGGCCAUCCUGGUGAGAAGAGCCAUAUAUAGAUAUUGCAAACAUCUUCUUCAAGUCUGUGGUUUGCCUUUUCACUAUCUUAAAGAUGAGUUUUGAUAAACAGAGAUUCUUAAUUUUAAUGAGGACCAAUUUAUCACUUCUGUCUUAAAACUAGUACUUUUCGUGCCCCUUGAGGGAAGAUUUUC